CCUACGGGCGGCAGCAGUGAGGAAUAUUGGUCAAUGGCCGGAAGGCUGAACCAGCCAUGCCGCGUGAAGGUCAGUGCCCUUUGGGCGUUAAACUUCUUUUGUUCGGGAGCAAUAAUGGUCACGUGUGGCCAGACGAGAGUACCGUUCGAAUAAGCAUCGGCUUACUCCGGGUCAGCAGGCCCCGUUAGUAGGGGGGGUCCAGGGUUUUCCCGACUUUUUGGGUUUAAAGGGGGCGGAAGGUGUGAGGUAAGGCAGCGGUGGAAUGCCACCGCUGAACCGGGGGAAGUGCCAUUGAUACUGGCUGGCUUGAGUGCGGGUGCGGUGGGAGGAAUUUGUGGUGUAGCGGUGAAAUGCAUAGAUAUCACGCAGAACACCGAUUGCGAAGGCAUCUCACGGAUCCGCGAUUGACGCUGAUGCACGAAAGCGUGGGUAUCAAACAGGAUUAGAUACCCGAGUAGUC
Molecule: ribosomal RNA, 460 nt
Filed under: uncultured bacterium
Lineage: Bacteria
Description: partial 16S ribosomal RNA
Rfam family: Bacterial small subunit ribosomal RNA
Source: RNAcentral